GGCUUCAUAGCUCAGCUGGUUAGAGCGUCGUGCUAAUAACGCGAAGGUCGCGGGUUCGAGAUCCCCCCUGGAGCCA
Non-coding RNA from Nasonia vitripennis (jewel wasp), 76 nucleotides. NCBI's taxonomy places the organism in Eukaryota, Metazoa, Arthropoda, Insecta, Hymenoptera, Pteromalidae. The record is from Rfam.